RNAcentral lists this ribosomal RNA (922 nucleotides) under Lysinibacillus fusiformis. RNAcentral's name for it is "bacterial SSU rRNA". It matches the Rfam family "Bacterial small subunit ribosomal RNA", at positions 1 to 924 of the family's 1533-position model. The record is from RNAcentral. Lineage: Bacteria; Bacillati; Bacillota; Bacilli; Caryophanales; Bacillaceae.
GGGUGCCGGUAAUAGAGUUUGAUCAUGGCUCAGUAAGUCGUAACAUAUGGCUGCCUGUUCAAUCAGGUAUGUUCUGGACUGCGACGGGUCAAAUAACACGUGGGCAACCUACCUAUAUAGUUUGGGAUAACUCCGGGAAACCGGGGCUAAUACCGAAUAAUCUGUUUCACCUCAUGGUGAAACACUGAAAGACGGUUUCGGCUGUCGCUAUAGGAUGGGCCCGCGGCGCAUUAGCUAGUUGGUGAGGUAACGGCUCACCAAGGCGACGAUGCGUAGCCGACCUGAGAGGGUGAUCGGCCACACUGGGACUGAGACACGGCCCAGACUCCUACGGGAGGCAGCAGUAGGGAAUCUUCCACAAUGGGCGAAAGCCUGAUGGAGCAACGCCGCGUGAGUGAAGAAGGAUUUCGGUUCGUAAAACUCUGUUGUAAGGGAAGAACAAGUACAGUAGUAACUGGCUGUACCUUGACGGUACCUUAUUAGAAAGCCACGGCUAACUACGUGCCAGCAGCCGCGGUAAUACGUAGGUGGCAAGCGUUGUCCGGAAUUAUUGGGCGUAAAGCGCGCGCAGGUGGUUUCUUAAGUCUGAUGUGAAAGCCCACGGCUCAACCGUGGAGGGUCAUUGGAAACUGGGAGACUUGAGUGCAGAAGAGGAUAGUGGAAUUCCAAGUGUAACGGUGAAAUGCGUAGAGAUUUGGAAGAACACCAGUGGCGAAGGCGACUAUCUGGUCUGUUACUGACACUGAGGCGCGAAAGCGUGGGGGAGCAAACAAGAUUAGAUACCCUGGUAGUCCCCGCCCGUAAACGAUGAGUGCUAAGUGUUAGGGGUUUUCGCCCCUUAUUGCUGCAUCUAACGGAUUAACACUCCGCCCUGGGGAGUACGGCGCAAAACUGAAACCCAAAGGAAUUGACGGGGGCCCCG